Lonchura striata (white-rumped munia) is the source of this 231-nucleotide non-coding RNA. The record is from RefSeq and is a predicted model, not a curated record. Lineage: Eukaryota; Metazoa; Chordata; Aves; Passeriformes; Estrildidae.
GUGCAUUGGCAGUGCUGUGAAGGACCAGCCUUUGUGUGACAGUGAUGGGGUGGUUACCACUCUGAAGGAGAUCUUUGAGACUGGUGAAAGAGACCUGCACUGAGGGAACUCAUUGAGCUUCCCUGGAGACAGAACUGAAUAAGAGAUGGAUGGAUGGAUUCAGUGUGGCAGUUCCUGUGUUAAUAUUGGUCUUAACUUCAGGAGUUGGUAAACAAUAAAUAAAUGAAUGAA